GACGAACGCUGGCGGCGUGCCUAAUACAUGCAAGUAGAACGCUGAAGCGAGGAGCUUCCUCUUCUUGGAUGAGUUGCGAACGGGUGAGUAACGCGUAGGUAACCUGCCUUGUAGCGGGGGAUAACUAUUGGAAACGAUAGCUAAUACCGCAUAACAAUGUAUGACACAUGUCAUUUAUUUGAAAGGGGCAAUUGCUCCACUACAAGAUGGACCUGCGUUGUAUUAGCUAGUAGGUGAGGUAAUGGCUCACCUAGGCGACGAUACAUAGCCGACCUGAGAGGGUGAUCGGCCACACUGGGACUGGGACACGGCCCAGACUCCUACGGGAGGCAGCAGUAGGGAAUCUUCGGCAAUGGGGGCAACCCUGACCGAGCAACGCCGCGUGAGUGAAGAAGGUUUUCGGAUCGUAAAGCUCUGUUGUAAGUCAAGAACGGGUGUGAGAGUGGAAAGUUCACACUGUGACGGUAGCUUACCAGAAAGGGACGGCUAACUACGUG
This 497-nucleotide ribosomal RNA is filed under the name uncultured bacterium. RNAcentral's name for it is "partial 16S ribosomal RNA". It matches the Rfam family "Bacterial small subunit ribosomal RNA", at positions 28 to 507 of the family's 1533-position model. The record is from RNAcentral.